Long non-coding RNA from Carya illinoinensis, 528 nucleotides. RefSeq lists it as uncharacterized. The record is from RefSeq and is a predicted model, not a curated record. The transcript has 2 exons. Lineage: Eukaryota; Viridiplantae; Streptophyta; Magnoliopsida; Fagales; Juglandaceae.
AUAUUUAGUCUUUUUAAUUGAAAAUAAUGAGUUUUAUCUCCCUGGAAACAAAUCCUUUGUUUGUCAGACACUGAACAGAUUCUCAUGCAUAGCACUGGCGGGUGUGGCAGCUGAGUAUCUUUUAUAUGGAAUUGCUGAGGGAGGCCUUGCUGACAUUAACAAGUUGGACAUGCUACUCAAAAGCUUGGCCUUCACACAGAAGAAAGCGGAUUCCCAAGUUAGAUGGUUUGUACUGAAUACAGUCCUACUUUUGAGGCGCCAUGAAUUAGCACGAGCUAAGCUUGCAAAGGCCAUGUCCAUGGGAAAGUCUGUAGGAACUUGCAUUGGCAUUAUAGAGGAGACCAUAGACGAUUCCGACAUCCAGCUUCAACUGGGUAAGUGGAGGUUGAGGAAUUCAAGCUCCAUUUACAUUUUUUUCCUUCUAAUUUUCUCUUAGGUAGUGAAUUUGAAAAGGGUAGAACAAGUGAAAGAUUUGUGAUACAAGAAGAAGGCAGUAACUCAAUGCACGAAUUUCUUUGAAAUUUUUUA